AUCGCUGACAAGUCCGACAUAGGACGAAAUGCGCAUCCCGGAU
RNAcentral lists this non-coding RNA (43 nucleotides) under Trichobilharzia regenti. The record is from RNAcentral. Lineage: Eukaryota; Metazoa; Platyhelminthes; Trematoda; Strigeidida; Schistosomatidae.